Molecule: long non-coding RNA, 246 nt
Filed under: Sus scrofa (pig)
Lineage: Eukaryota; Metazoa; Chordata; Mammalia; Artiodactyla; Suidae
Description: lncRNA (ENSSSCG00055003367.1)
Source: RNAcentral
CGGCUGCUGCUGGAGCCGGUGUCCGGGCUGGUGAUGGGGUUAAUUCCCUUUCGUAAGACUCUUACUUGCACCCACCCAGCCCCGCCGUCGCCCCGCCGCGCCGCGCUCCAGCCGCCUCCUCCUCCUUCUCAGUAACGCGGGACCUGGAAGAAAUUUGGAUGUGUAUUAGAAUUAAAAAAUGAAAGAUGUAACCCUGCAAGGAAUCUAAACCUUUGAGUGUUGUUUAUUUCCCAGAGCAUGAUGAGA